Molecule: ribosomal RNA, 828 nt
Filed under: uncultured bacterium
Lineage: Bacteria
Description: bacterial SSU rRNA
Rfam family: Bacterial small subunit ribosomal RNA
Source: RNAcentral
CAGUCGAACGAGGGUCCUUCGGGACUCGAGUGGCGAACGGGUGAGUAACACGUAGGGAACCUGCCCGUGCGACCGGGAGAACUUUCGGAAACGGAAGCUGAUACCGGAUAGGGACAGAGACGGCAUCGACUCUGUGUUAAAGGAGCUGCAAGGCUCCGCGCACGGAUGGACCUGCGGUGCAUUAGCUAGUUGGUGAGGUAACGGCCCACCAAGGCGACGAUGCAUAGCCGGCCUGAGAGGGCGGACGGCCACACUGGGACUGAGACACGGCCCAGACUCCUACGGGAGGCAGCAGUAGGGAAUUUUCGUCAAUGGGCGCAAGCCUGAACGAGCAAUGCCGCGUGAACGAGGAAGGUCUUCGGAUCGUAAAGUUCUGUUGAAGGGGAAAAAGAGCGGAGAGAGGAAAUGAACUCCGAUUGAUAUUACCCUUCGAGGAAGUCACGGCUAACUACGUGCCAGCAGCCGCGGUAAUACGUAGGUGGCGAGCGUUAUCCGGAAUGAUUGGGCGUAAAGGGUGCGUAGGCGGCCUGCUAAGUCUGGAGUGAAAGUACCGGCUCAACCGGUAUAGGCUCUGGAAACUGGCGGGCUAGAGAGCAGGAGAGGGCGGUGGAACUCCAUGUGUAGCGGUAAAAUGCGUAGAUAUAUGGAAGAACACCAGUGGCGAAGGCGGCCGCCUGGCCUGUUACUGACGCUGAGGCACGAGAGCGUGGGGAGCAAAUAGGAUUAGAUACCCUAGUAGUCCACGCCGUAAACGAUGAGGACCAAGUGUUGGGGAAGACCCAGUGCUGCAGUUAACGCAGUGAGUCCUCCGCCUGGGGAGUAUGCACG